CAAAACCUUGUGCUUUUGGAGCGGCCGAUGUCUGAUUAGCUAGUUGGUGAGGUAAAGGCUUACCAAGGCGUCGAUCAGUAGCUGGUCUGAGAGGACGACCAGCCACACUGGGACCGAGACACGGCCCAGACUCCUACGGGAGGCAGCAGUGGGGAAUUUUGGACAAUGGGGGAAACCCUGAUCCAGCCACGCCGCGUGAGUGAAGAAGGCCUUCGGGUUGUAAAGCUCAUUCAGCCGGAACGAAACGGUCACGGUUAAUACCCGUGACUACUGACGGUACCGGAAGAAGAAGCACCGGCUAACUACGUGCCAGCAGCCGCGGUAAUACGUAGGGUGCGAGCGUUAAUCGGAAUUACUGGGCGUAAAGCGUGCGCAGGCGGUUUUGUAAGUCAGAUGUGAAAUCCGGGCUUAACCUGGGAACU
RNAcentral lists this ribosomal RNA (422 nucleotides) under uncultured Nitrosospira sp. RNAcentral describes it as "bacterial SSU rRNA". It matches the Rfam family "Bacterial small subunit ribosomal RNA", at positions 202 to 622 of the family's 1533-position model. Lineage: Bacteria; Pseudomonadati; Pseudomonadota; Betaproteobacteria; Nitrosomonadales; Nitrosomonadaceae. The record is from RNAcentral.